Molecule: ribosomal RNA, 371 nt
Filed under: uncultured bacterium
Lineage: Bacteria
Description: bacterial SSU rRNA
Rfam family: Bacterial small subunit ribosomal RNA
Source: RNAcentral
GACGAACGCUGGCGGCGUGCUUAACACAUGCAAGUCGAGCGGUAAGGCCCUUUCGGGGGUACACGAGCGGCGAACGGGUGAGUAACACGUGGGUGACCUGCCCUCAGCUCUGGGAUAAGCCUGGGAAACCGGGUCUAAUACUGGAUAUGACUCCAUGACGCAUGUUGUGGGGUGGAAAGCCUUGUGCGGCUGAGGAUGGGCCCGCGGCCUAUCAGCUUGUUGGUGGGGUGANGGCCUACCAAGGCGACGACGGGUAGCCGGCCUGAGAGGGCGACCGGCCACACUGGGACUGAGACACGGCCCAGACUCCUACGGGAGGCAGCAGUGGGGAAUCUUGCGCAAUGGGCGAAAGCCUGACGCAGCGACGCCGC